GUACUGUUCCUCUGUAUCCGUUUACAUAUCUUUUAAAGAAUAAAAUCAUAUGUAUUUAUUGACAUUUGUGUAUACUCAAAGAACUUAGCUGGAUGUUCUCUGAGAUCUGUAUAUAGAUGGUGAAUUCUCCUAGCCGUUUUAUUUGUUGGUUGAUAUGGUUAACACUAUAUUUUCUUUCAUUUCUAGUUGUCAACAAUUGUAAAUAUACAUUUGUGUCUAAAAAGAAUAAGCCCUCAAUGCCAUCGAGAGACAUCUUCAAACACUUUCACGAAACUCGA
Cinara cedri is the source of this 278-nucleotide non-coding RNA. The record is from the annotation of a GenBank genome assembly. NCBI's taxonomy places the organism in Eukaryota, Metazoa, Arthropoda, Insecta, Hemiptera, Aphididae.